Molecule: long non-coding RNA, 591 nt
Filed under: Equus caballus (horse)
Lineage: Eukaryota; Metazoa; Chordata; Mammalia; Perissodactyla; Equidae
Description: lncRNA (ENSECAG00000058374.1)
Source: RNAcentral
CAGAAGGAGAGGGGAAGCUUUUCUCGCCUGAUGACAGCAGUUAUGUUGAAAUGUCUUCACCCACACACAAAUCCCAUGACUAAUCAUCAGGAAGUGAUCAAAACCUGGAUAGAACAAAUGACCACCGCUCUCUGUACCUCCUUCAAUUCAAAGGCGGGGGCUUACUUCUGGAACUUUGCUUUCGGCUUCGACCAUAGUUCGGGUCGCUACGUGGAGUCUUCGGAGACCGCAGUGCCCGGCUCAGGCUGCGCAAAGAUCAUCUCACCUCACUAUCACCACUCGGGAGAAGUCCUUAGAAAUAGUUUUACCGACAGAAACAAGUGAAUAAAGCCGCCCCCAACAGAUCAUUCCUCAGCUCUAGGCUUCUAGCAUCUUGGAGACGGGAACCAUGUGCCUGGCACCCGACAAUAAAGGAUGGCUUUUUGAAUGAAAGAAAGAAUGUACUGGCAGGUAUAGAGGGUUUCGUGUCUUUCUCUGUAUUCUUAAUUCUAGCUUUCUACUUCUUCACAUUGGCACUUUCUUGCCCAGGAGCUGAAUCUUUGAAUCCCUAGAAGACCGAGGCAAGGAAAGGCACGGAGAUUCUGACAACUU